GCCGCAGGGGCCAGGGUUCCUCGGCAAUGUUCGUCAGCCGAGGGUUAGCCGAUCCUAAGACAACUCUUAAUCGAAGUUGCCGAAAGGGAAACAGGUUAAUAUUCCUGUGCCAUAAUAGUCAUCGCCUAAUAUGAAACAUAUCCGGAUAAGCUGAGCAGGGGUGUCAAUCUGUUCAAGCGUCGAAGCCUUUGGAGUACCGUAAUGGUGAGAAUUAGGUGAAUGCGCGAGUAGGCAAGCGAAGGCUUGCUUCAGCUGAUUCCAGGUAUCAAUGAAAAUUGUAUUAGUUUAGUCUGUUAUGUUCGUACCAAGAACUGACACAGGUGCCCCUAGGUGAGAAGCCUAAGGCGUGUCGGCGUAAUCGUAGCGAGGGAAUUCGGCAAAAUAGCCCCGUACCUUUGGUAGAAGGGGUGCCAGCCAUGAAGAUGGCUGGUCUCAGUAACAAGGGAGCUCCGACUGUUUAACAAAAACAUAGGUCACAGCUAGUUCGAAAGGAUGUGUAUUGUGGCUGAAGCCUGCCCAGUGACGGUAUCUGAAACUCGGGUUCAACUGAGCGAAGGACCGUUAAACGGCGGGGGUAACUAUGACCCUCUUAAGGUAGCGUAAUACCUUGUCGCUUAAUUGGCGACUUGCAUGAAGGCACAACGAGAGCUCUACUGUCCCCGCUUCGAAGCCGGUGAAACUGAUAGUACCGGCGCACAAUCCGGUAUCUUCCACCUGAAAGCGAAGACCCCAUGGAGCUUUACUACAACCUGUUGUUGUGAUACGAGCCCUAAUGUGUAGCGUAGGCAGGAGUCGUUAUCAGGGCUUGCCGCCAGGCAAGUUCCGAGACAUCAAUGAAACACUGCCCUUUAGGACUCGUACCACUUACUCUUUCUGAGAGGACAGCUAUAGGUGGGCAGUUUGGGUGGGGCGCCACGCGCUCAAAAAGAUAACAAGCGCGCCCAAUGGUCAGCUCAGGCAGGUCAGAAAUCUGCCGUUGAAUGCAAAGGUAAAAGCUGGCUUGACGUCGGUUGGGACAAUAACAAUCGGCGAUACGAAAGUAGGGCUUAGCGAACCACUCAGCCUUCUGAAUGGGGGCGAGUGAUAACAGAAAAGUUACCCUGGGGAUAACUGAGUCGUCGCUAGCAAGAGUUCAUAUCGACCUAGCGGUUUGCUACUUCGCUGUCGGCUCUCCCUAUCCUGGUGGUGCAGCAGCUACCAAGGGUGGGGUUGUUCGCCCAUUAAAAGGGAUCGUGAGCUGGGUUCAGACCGUCGUGAGACAGGUUUGUUGCUUUUUGGUGGAAGUGUAUUGAUGCCUGACGGGAAGGAUCCUUUAGUACGAGAGGAACGGGGAUUCGUAGCCUCUAGUUCAUCAGUUGUCUGGCAAGGCACUGCUGAGCAGCCACGCUGUAAGGGAUAAGAGCUGAAAGCAUCUAAGCUCGAAACUCCCCCGGAAAAGAGGCAUCUUAGAACGCUCAUAAAUGAUGAGUUUGAUAGGACUGGGGUGUAAGUAUCAAGGUUUUCCGAGAUAUUCAGCCCGCAGUUACUAACGUUUGCUUCGUCGC
RNAcentral lists this ribosomal RNA (1544 nucleotides) under human gut metagenome. Its description in RNAcentral is "bacterial LSU rRNA". It matches the Rfam family "Archaeal large subunit ribosomal RNA", at positions 1424 to 2987 of the family's 2987-position model. The record is from RNAcentral.